Molecule: ribosomal RNA, 500 nt
Filed under: uncultured bacterium
Lineage: Bacteria
Description: bacterial SSU rRNA
Rfam family: Bacterial small subunit ribosomal RNA
Source: RNAcentral
UUAUCGCCAAAGGAUCGGCCCGCGUUGGAUUAGGUAGUUGGUGGGGUAAUGGCCUACCAAGCCGACGAUCCAUAGCUGGUUUGAGAGGAUGAUCAGCCACACUGGGACUGAGACACGGCCCAGACUCCUACGGGAGGCAGCAGUGGGGAAUCUUAGACAAUGGGGGAAACCCUGAUCUAGCCAUGCCGCGUGAGCGAUGAAGGCCUUAGGGUUGUAAAGCUCUUUCGUGGGGGAAGAUAAUGACUGUACCCCAAGAAGAAGCCCCGGCUAACUCCGUGCCAGCAGCCGCGGUAAUACGGAGGGGGCUAGCGUUGUUCGGAAUUACUGGGCGUAAAGCGCACGUAGGCGGACCGGAAAGUCAGAGGUGAAAUCCCAGGGCUCAACCUUGGAACUGCCUUUGAAACUCCUGGUCUUGAGGUCCAGAGAAGUGAGUGGAAUUCCGAGUGUAGAGGUGAAAUUCGUAAGAUAUUCGGAGGAACACCAGUGGCGAAAGGCGGCUC